This is a non-coding RNA of Chrysemys picta bellii (western painted turtle), 4243 nucleotides long. The record is from RefSeq and is a predicted model, not a curated record. NCBI's taxonomy places the organism in Eukaryota, Metazoa, Chordata, Testudines, Emydidae.
AACCGCGGCUGGGUCAGCUGAUCCAUCACCUGUCCUGAGCAAGAUGGCAGCCUCCAUACUGCGGCGCUCGCUUCUAAUUCCGCGCUGCAGAGCUGGGGAUGUCGCCGCCCUGCACAGUGGACCGAGCCGGAGAAGGGCGCAGGCCCCAGAGCCCAUCGCUUCUGGCCGGAGAGCGGGGAAUUGUCCUGCGGGAGAGCGCGGUGUUGCUCCAUGGGUAGCAGUGGUAGGUCUGGAAAUUCAUGCACAGAUCAGUUCCAACUCAAAGCUUUUCUCUGGCUCCCAAGUCCAGUUUGCAGCACCACCUAAUUCUUUGGUAUCUUUCUUUGAUGCUUCUCUACCAGGGACCUUACCAGCUCUCAACAGGAGAUGUGUAGAAGCAGCAGUGAUGACAGGCCUUGCACUGAACUGCAGCAUAAACAAGAAGUCCUUGUUUGACAGAAAACACUAUUUCUAUGCAGAUCUGCCUGCUGGCUAUCAAAUCACUCAGCAGAGACUUCCUGUUGCUGUGAAUGGGAGUCUUUCAUACAGCCUCUGUGUAGGGGGAAAAAAGAACCAGAUGGUAACCAGGACUGUGAGGAUCAAGCAGAUCCAGUUGGAACAAGACAGCGGAAAGAGUCUUCAUGAUGACAUAAGGAGCCAGACUCUCAUUGAUUUGAACAGGGCUGGUGUUGGCCUCAUGGAGGUUGUCAUGGAGCCUGAUAUGAGCUCUGGGGAAGAGGCAGCUGCAGCAGUCAGAGAGCUUCAGCUUAUUCUUCAAACACUUGGGAGCAGCCAGGCAAUCAUGGCAGAGGGUCAACUGAGAGUGGAUGCCAAUGUAUCUGUGCAUCACCCCGGAGAAGCUUACGGAGUAAGGACUGAAGUGAAGAAUAUCAAUAGUGCACGAUUCCUGGCAAGAGCAAUAGACUAUGAAAUACAGAGGCAAAUCAAGGAACUUGAAAAUGGAGGAACUGUUAUGAAUGAAACCAGAGCCUUUGAUUACAAACUUGGGUGUACCAUACCAAUGAGAGAUAAAGAAGGAAAACAGGAUUAUCGGUUCAUGCCAGAGCCAAACCUCCCUCCAUUGAUUCUGUACGAUACUAAAUCGUUGCCCGCUAAUACGAACCAUCAGCAAGUGGUGAAUAUUGAUUGGAUUCGGGAGAGGCUUCCUGAUCUCCCCAGUGUGAGGAGAGUGAAGCUUGUUGAACAGUAUGGGAUUCUGCCUGAACACAGUUUCACCUUAUUGAAUGAAGACGGAUUAAUGGAGUUCUUUGAAAAUGUAGUGAGACAGACACAGAUGAAUCCAAAGAAAGUGAUUGGCUGGAUUCUAAAUGAUAUGCUUGGUUAUUUAAAACAAUACAACCUUAAAGUCAAGGAAAGUCCAGUCAGUUCUCUCUUCCUGGCUGACCUUCUAAAUCUUCUAGAGAGAGGAACAAUUUCUUCUUCAGCAGCCAACCAAGUGCUUGAGGAAUUGUGGAAGGGGGAGGGGAAGACCCCACUUCAGAUUGUUAAAGAAAAGAAACUUGGACUUAUCCAGGAUCAGCAAGAGCUUGAACAGAUCUGUCAGGCAGUGAUGGAAGGACAUCAGGAAGAGGUUAUGGAGAUAAAGAAGGGAAACCAAAAAGUUCUGAAUAAACUGAUUGGACUGGUUCAAAGAACAACAAGAGGGCGAGCAGAUCCUGUGCUGGUGAAACAAAUAUUAGAGAAGAGGUUGUCACAGUAACUUUCAGAGCAACUUGCACAGGUCCCUACAGAGGGAAUGACUGGACAUUCCCUGGACUUUGUACAGUUCAAUUCCAGCCUGAGCUAGAAAAAGAUACUGUGUAGUCUCAGCAUGGAACAGAAUUAUUAUUCCCUUUCGGUGGUUAUUCAGGUAGUAUCUUGUUAUACAGUUUCCUUGAAUACUUCACCCUCUGUCAGGACAAAAGAAAAGAUAUUCAGUGCAAAUGAAUAGCAGAAGCUAGUAUUGAGUGCUGUUCACUUUUCCUGUAGCUGGUUUUGCACACAUGAGAAAGCUCCAGGUUGUGCCAUCUGCUCCCUCUGGCUCGUGCCCCCCAGUGCUGCUGCUGCUAGAGCCAUCUCUACUGCUCCCAACAAAGCCAAGAAACAUGCCAGCUGCUUCCAGGAGCAGCGUGGGGCCUGGGCAGGCAGGGAGCCUGCGUUAGCCCCGCUACGCUGCCAGACUUCUACGGCCGGAGAUCGUGAUCGACUGGCAGAGGCUCCAGGAUCGACCAGUCAAUUGCAAUCUACCGUUGGUUACCAUUGCUCCAUAGACUUCACUGGAGUUACUCUGGAUUUACACUGGUUAACUGAACAUAAUCUGUCCCAUUUGCUUAAUUGGAAUUUUGCAGGUUUUGGCUCAACAGAUCUUAUUUUUGGUGAACUCUCUCUCAAAUGUUAGUUUUGAAAAUGUGACAAGAUGCAUCUAAUGUAUUGCAGCAUUAAUAUAAUAUUGAGACAUAUAGUACUUACUGUUAAUUGUAUUAUAAGUACUGUCACCUAGGAAAAAAGGGUGUAUUUAUUUCUUACAUGCCAGGAUACUGACACAGAACACUGAAAAUGAGGCUUCUUUUUAGAAAUCACACUGUUUCAAGUUAUAAGUGACAUGUUGGCAAAAUAUAACAGCAUUAUGACAUAGCUAGGCCUUCAUAUGAAAGCUGAACUCCAAAAUUCUGAUUUUAGGAGAAAGACUUUUUGCUCUGACCAAGUUAAAGUCUAAUCUCUAGCCCAGGUUGUGUGUCUGUUAAAAAAUGCUGAAAAUAUAAGAGAAAGUUAUAAGCAUCUGUCUUGAGAACAGGAACUUUUCCUCUAUGUGCAUGGCUGUGAAUGUGCAGUUGGUGUUUUUCUAUUAUUUCAGUUAUAUAUUUUUGCUAGCUUUGCAUUUUCUAAAUUAUUUUUUGAGUUGGGACUUUUGCAGAACAUUUGAGAUAAUGUCUGUGCACCAACCCAUGACCUCAAACAUCUCAAAAUACCUAUUGACUGGCAAUAUAUUUUUGGAUCCAUGGACUUGCAGACCCUGAAAUUACUAGAAUAGGGAAGUUCUUCAUUUGUAUAAAGAAGCCCUAAUCAAAUCCCACUGGGUGAUACCAGUGACAUCAGAACAGGAGUGGACCCAUUCCGAUUUGCCAAAAAACUCAUGAGGAAAAGUCCCAAGAGGCAGGACCUAGCUAGGCCACAAUCUUCAACAACCAAAGGAAAAGAAGUGCCAUUGCUGACCUGUUUGCCUGGUGCAGCAGCUCGUCUCUAGCCAUGCAACGCAUGUCUAAAGAGGAGGCCAGUGCUUCCUCUACCCUCCCAGCUGGCCACCGAGGGAGAGAGUCCAGCAACACUGCAAUACCGGAGUUUUGACAUCUACAAACAAUUAACCUCAAACCAGCCAGCAAGUCCAUCAACACUCAUUUGAGCCGAAAAAAAUAACCUGGUUAAUCUUUCCAACCAUGUACCAGCUUCCUGAAGCUGAAUGUAGCUUUUGUGGCUUCAGUAACUAUCCUGCAUGACUAGCAACCUUUUUGGGUUCUAUUUUCUUUUCCCAAUUUUUAUUAGUAGAGGGAAGCUUCUAAUUCUCUACUUCUGUAUUCUUGCACUUUUUAAUUUUACCACCACCAGAGGGAACAUGUCCUGUGUACAUGCACAGGAGUGUGUGUAGACAGAACCCAUAGAAUUUUUCUGAGAACAGUGCCUAUAGAAUAGUUUUCAAACACCUAGCCCUUAGAUAAUACAACCUAUUUUAAAUACAAUAUAAUACAACAUAUCUUAAUGUAUACUUGAAUCCUGAGAAAUGUUAUUUUUACAUAAAAGUCUUGUUUGCUAGUCCAACAUAGCAAGCCAUGUCAUCUUGAAAAAUCCUGGAAUAUUUCAUGGAACUUUACAUUGGGAGGGCAGAGAGAAGAGGAAGAGAUUGACUAUCACCUAAAUCACCUGUAAUUUUGGCAUACUGCUCUAGUUGGCAUCAGAGCUGUAGUCUCAACAUUAGCUCUAAACUAGGAGUGAUCUGACCCUCCCCAUAUAAGCUAUGGAGCUGGAAUCACAACUGCAAUGAGUAAGGAUCUGUUACUUUUAGGGCUAACAACUAAACAAGAUUGCUGCCUUCCCAAAUUAUUAAGCUAAUGCUUAUAAGGAACUGUUGGUUUAUUUGAUAUAUUUUAAUCAUACCAGUAACAAGAUUAAUUUGAUGAUUGAUAUUAACCUCUUUUCAUUUAAUUUUGCUUAUAUGUAUUUUAUUAUAUACUUUCUAUUAAUUUAGUUUAAUUAAUAAACUAUAUAAAAU